Molecule: long non-coding RNA, 425 nt
Filed under: Nicotiana benthamiana
Lineage: Eukaryota; Viridiplantae; Streptophyta; Magnoliopsida; Solanales; Solanaceae
Description: long non-coding RNA (NBEN_LNC011607)
Source: RNAcentral
AAGAGAGAAAAAGAGUAAGGUUUCACAGACAGGGUAUAAGAAAAUAGUCUGUGAGGAAAAUAGAGAGUGAGCGAUAUUGUAGUGAGGUUGAAUAUCAAAAGAGAGUUAUUUCUUUUGAGUGUUGUAGUGGUCUUUGGAGUAUUUUACUCGUACCUAUAAAGUGUGAAAAUUUCUUACUAUAGUGAUAUCAGUUGCUCCUCUCAGGGCCGUGGUUUCUUCCCUUAUUCAGAAGGGUUUUCCACGUAAAAAUCUUGGUGUCAUUGUUACUCUUUUAUUCUUGUUAAUUACCGUAUCUCGGUGCUACAUUAUUAUUCCGCUUUUAUUACCGUGAAUAUUAUUUUGGUAAGGGGUUUAUUCCCAACAGAAACUUCUUUGCAAAUCGCAUGCGGUGCAUCAACAGCAGAAAAAAAAGCGCGAUAAUUUCC